This 255-nucleotide ribosomal RNA is filed under the name uncultured bacterium. RNAcentral describes it as "partial 16S ribosomal RNA". It matches the Rfam family "Bacterial small subunit ribosomal RNA", at positions 524 to 777 of the family's 1533-position model. The record is from RNAcentral.
UACGAAGGGGGCUAGCGUUGUUCGGAUUUACUGGGCGUAAAGCGCACGUAGGCGGAUCGUUAAGUCGGGGGUGAAAUCCUGGAGCUCAACUCCAGAACUGCCUUCGAUACUGGCGAUCUUGAGUCCGGAAGAGGUGAGUGGAACUCCUAGUGUAGAGGUGGAAUUCGUAGAUAUUAGGAAGAACACCAGUGGCGAAGGCGGCUCACUGGUCCGGUACUGGACGCUGAGGUGCGAAAGCGUGGGGAGCAAACAGGG